Long non-coding RNA from Rattus rattus (black rat), 405 nucleotides. RefSeq lists it as uncharacterized. The record is from RefSeq and is a predicted model, not a curated record. The transcript has 3 exons. Lineage: Eukaryota; Metazoa; Chordata; Mammalia; Rodentia; Muridae.
CAGAAACAAAGAAGAGUGUCCAGUGAUCUGGAGGCUUUCUUGAUCUACUUAGGUGACUCUUCAUACAAAUCACGGACUACCAGUCUGAAUGGGAGAAGUUGGACUUCUGCAGUUGGUGGCUACCUGCAAAAUAAAUAGCAAAACAUUGAGUGGCUCACUGAAUUUCAACAUCCAAUGAAGAAAUUUUUACUCAAAGAAAGAAGACUCAUGCUGUAAAUGGUAUUACCAUCUUAUGGGCUGAGGUCAAAGGCUCAAUAACGAGAAGAAAAUAAACCAGGAGUCUCUUCCCUCUGCUUCCUGACUGGAUAUAUGACCAAAUGAUUCAUACUCUUGCCCCCAUGAUUUCUUUGUCAUAGUGGACUGUACUCCCCAAUUGUGAGUCAAAAUAAAUCUAUUCUUCCUUAA